GGGCGUUUAGCUCAGCUGGCUAGAGCGCAUCGUUCACAUCGAUGAGGUCACUGGUUCGAGUCCAGUACCGCCCA
RNAcentral lists this transfer RNA (74 nucleotides) under Planctomycetota bacterium. RNAcentral describes it as "Planctomycetes bacterium tRNA-Val". It matches the Rfam family "tRNA". Rfam says of the family: Transfer RNA (tRNA) molecules are approximately 80 nucleotides in length. Their secondary structure includes four short double-helical elements and three loops (D, anti-codon, and T loops). The record is from RNAcentral. Lineage: Bacteria; Pseudomonadati; Planctomycetota.